GACGUAGGGCGCGAGCGUUGUCCGGAUUUAUUGGGCGUAAAGCGCGCGCAGGCGGUCAAUUAAGUUGGGUGUUUAAGCCCGGGGCUCAACCCCGGUACGCAUCCAAAACUGGUUGACUUGAGUGUAGGAGAGGAAAGUGGAAUUCCACGUGUAGCGGUGAAAUGCGUAGAGAUGUGGAGGAACACCAGUGGCGAAGGCGACUUUCUGGCCUAUAACUGACGCUGAGGCGCGAAAGCGUGGGGAGCGAACAGG
Molecule: ribosomal RNA, 252 nt
Filed under: uncultured bacterium
Lineage: Bacteria
Description: partial 16S ribosomal RNA
Rfam family: Bacterial small subunit ribosomal RNA
Source: RNAcentral